GAUGAAGAACGUAGCGAAAUGCGAUAAGUAGUGUGAAUUGCAGAAUUCAGUGAAUCAUCGAAUCUUUGAACGCACAUUGCGCCCCUUGGUAUCCCGAGGGGCAUGCCUGUUCGAGCGUCAUUUCACCACUCAAGCCUGGCUUGGUUUUGGGCGACGUCCUCUUUGGGGACGCGCCUCGAAACGCUCGGCGGCGUGGCACCGGCUUUAAGCGUAGCAGAAUCUUUCGCUUUGGAAGUCGGGGCCCCGUCUGCCGGAAACCUGCUCGCAAGGUUGACCUCGGAUCAGGCAGGGAUACCCGCUGAACUUAAGCAUAUCAUAAGCGGAGGA
This 327-nucleotide unclassified non-coding RNA is filed under the name soil metagenome. RNAcentral's name for it is "partial contains 5.8S ribosomal RNA, internal transcribed spacer 2, and large subunit ribosomal RNA". The stretch from base 1 to 120 matches the Rfam family "5.8S ribosomal RNA", at positions 35 to 154 of the family's 154-position model. The record is from RNAcentral.